GCCCGUGUGGAUCAAUCGGAUCGCGCACUGGACUCAUAAUCCAGAGGUUGCUGGUUAGAAUCCAGCGGUGGACG
RNAcentral lists this transfer RNA (74 nucleotides) under Culex quinquefasciatus (southern house mosquito). It matches the Rfam family "tRNA". From Rfam's summary of the family: Transfer RNA (tRNA) molecules are approximately 80 nucleotides in length. Their secondary structure includes four short double-helical elements and three loops (D, anti-codon, and T loops). Lineage: Eukaryota; Metazoa; Arthropoda; Insecta; Diptera; Culicidae. The record is from Rfam by way of RNAcentral.